AUCAAUAAGCGGAGGAAAAGAAACCAACAGGGAUUGCCUUAGUAACGGCGAGUGAAGCGGCAACAGCUCAAAUUUGAAAUCUGGCCCUCGGGUCCGAAUUGUAAUUUGUAGAGGAUGAUUUUGGUGCGGUAUCUUCCGAGUUCCUUGGAACAGGACGCCUUAGAGGGUGAGAGCCCCGUACGGUUGAAUGCCUAGCCUCUGUAAAUCUCCUUCGACGAGUCGAGUAGUUUGGGAAUGCUGCUCUAAAUGGGAGGUAAAUUUCUUCUAAAGCUAAAUAUUGGCCAGAGACCGAUAGCGCACAAGUAGAGUGAUCGAAAGAUGAAAAGCACUUUGAAAAGAGGGUUAAAUAGCACGUGAAAUUGUUGAAAGGGAAGGAUUUGUGACCAGACUUUUUCUGGGCGGAUCAUCCGGGGUUCUCUCCGGUGCACUUUGCCCAGUAAAGGCCAGCAUCGAUUUUCGGCGGCGGAUAAAAGCAGUGGGAAUGUGGCUCCCCACGGGGAGUGUUAUAGCCCAUUGUAUAAUACGCUGCUGGGGAUCGAGGUACGCGCUUCUGCAAGGAUGCUGGCGUAAUGGUUAUCAAUCACCCGUCUUGAAACACGGACCAAGGAGUCGAACAUUUAUGCGAGUGUUUGGGUGUUAAACCCUCACGCGUAAUGAAAGUGAACGGAGGUGAGAGCCCGUACGGGUGCAUCAUCGACCGAUCCUGAAGUUUUCGGAUGGAUUUGAGUAAGAGCAUAACUGUUCGGACCCGAAAGAUGGUGAACUAUGCGUGGAUAGGGUGAAGCCAGAGGAAACUCUGGUGGAGGCUCGCAGCGGUUCUGACGUGCAAAUCGAUCGUCAAAUCUGCGCAUGGGGGCGAAAGACUAAUCGAACCAUCUAGUAGCUGGU
This 888-nucleotide ribosomal RNA is filed under the name Pestalotiopsis sp. CBS 100567. RNAcentral describes it as "LSU rRNA". It matches the Rfam family "Eukaryotic large subunit ribosomal RNA", at positions 42 to 955 of the family's 3401-position model. Lineage: Eukaryota; Fungi; Ascomycota; Sordariomycetes; Amphisphaeriales; Sporocadaceae. The record is from RNAcentral.